This 72-nucleotide transfer RNA is filed under the name Rickettsiales bacterium. Its description in RNAcentral is "tRNA-Met". It matches the Rfam family "tRNA". From Rfam's summary of the family: Transfer RNA (tRNA) molecules are approximately 80 nucleotides in length. Lineage: Bacteria; Pseudomonadati; Pseudomonadota; Alphaproteobacteria; Rickettsiales. The record is from RNAcentral.
GGCUACGUAGCUCAGCUGGUUAGAGCACAGCAUUCAUAAUGCUGUGUUCAAAUCGAGCACAGUUCUAGGCCA